Molecule: long non-coding RNA, 1227 nt
Organism: Daphnia pulex (common water flea)
Lineage: Eukaryota; Metazoa; Arthropoda; Branchiopoda; Diplostraca; Daphniidae
Exons: 3
Source: RefSeq, a predicted model, not a curated record
UCUAAAGUUUUCCCAUAAAGUGUAUUUGAUGGCUUUGAUUUUUUUGUAUUUUAUUUUCCUUUCAGUGGCACAUCAUGGAUUAACGGGAUCGUUAAGGAUCGAACGUUUGCUGAUUGGGCACCAGCAGUGCACAAUUUUACGGCUUCGUGUGCGUGGCCACUUAUGUCUUUGAUGUCUGCGAUCUAAAUAACGGCAAUAUUACGGUAAAAUCCGGUAAAAUCCUCUAGUCAUCUUUUUCCAUAUGGAUUCUUUGAUAAUGCGCAGAUGUUCCGGAUUUUCAAACGGGACCGUACACCAUUCGACUUGCAGCAAGGCUUACACCAUCAACGGCGGGGACAAACCAUAGGAAAUUCCAACACUUUUUCGAUCCAUGUUGCCAAGGAUUAAACUGAAAUAUUAUCUAAAUCUGAAUCUAGUUCAUAGCUAGCAGCAAUAACGUUUUGCCGGCUUUCAGUAUUGUCCGACAGCGCAGCAAUUCUCUGCUUCAUUUGCUGGCGUUAAUGGCCACUUGGAAUACUCCCGGCGUCAAUGCCGAUGCCAUUAGUCACGUUUGGAAGCUUUGCUCGGAUUGCUCCCUGAAAAACCAAAGGCGGAAGUAAUGGCUUUUUACGCGCGCAUGAGUGAGGAUUCACUUUGCUCUUGGUUCGCUCAAUUCAGUCUCUUCAUACACAAUUUGGCUCAGCUGCAUUUCCAUGGAGACCAUAUCAGCAUCGACUAGCUAUAUAGUUUGUUCCGAAAACCUACGCUCUCGCUACCGACGGCCGAAUAAUCGAGCGAGUUUCUACGAAAAAAUUACCAGGAUCGAAUAGAGGUAUAGUUCAGAAACUUUAUGGUCCCUAAAGUACAUCUACAUCGUGGGCCUUCAGCGUGUCGAACAGAUGUGAAGAAACUGAACUUCCGUAGUCACCGGGAGUUUUCGGAGUUUCAUCAAAAGUGCUGCCUCCGCUUUUAAAUUCGUUUGCAAUAGAUCUCCACUUUUUUUUCCCCCGUCUUCGAUCAAUAUGAAGAGACCAAUGCUUAUGUCAUCAGCUAGUGGCGCAACAAGUCUUCGUCCAGUCAUACGGAAUGUCGCCAAUUCCAAUGGUCACGUUCAAGGCGAGUUGAAGAUAUCGAUCCAAUAUACUCGGAGCGAGUUGCAUGUCAGGAUCCAACAUGGUUGCGAUUUGAUUGCCGUGGGAGGCUCGGCAACUUUUGUCAACAAGCGACCGAGUUGCCGUCACCUUACGU